RNAcentral lists this ribosomal RNA (393 nucleotides) under uncultured bacterium. Its description in RNAcentral is "bacterial SSU rRNA". It matches the Rfam family "Bacterial small subunit ribosomal RNA", at positions 29 to 422 of the family's 1533-position model. The record is from RNAcentral.
AUUGAACGCUGGCGGCGUGCCUAACACAUGCAAGUCGAGCGGUAACAGGUGUAGCAAUACAUGCUGACGAGCGGCGGACGGGUGAGUAACGCUUGGGAAUCUGCCUAUUAGUGGGGGACAACCCGGGGAAACUCGGGCUAAUACCGCAUACGCUCUACGGAGGAAAGCCGGGGACCGCAAGGCCUGGCGUUAAUAGAUGAGCCCAAGUCGGAUUAGCUAGUUGGUAGGGUAAUGGCCACCAAGGCGACGAUCCGUAACUGGUCUGAGAGGACGACCAGUCACACCGGAACUGAGACACGGUCCGGACUCCUACGGGAGGCAGCAGUGGGGAAUAUUGGACAAUGGGCGAAAGCCUGAUCCAGCGACGCCGCGUGGGUGAAGAAGGCCUGCGGG